CCCUUAGAUGUUCUGGGCCGCACGCGCGCUACACUGACGGAGGCAGCGAGCGUGUCCUUCGCCGGCAGGUGCGGGCAAUCUUGCGAGUCUCCGUCGUGCUGGGGAUAGAUGGUUGCAAUUGUCGAUCUUGAACGAGGAAUUCCUAGUAAGCGCGAGUCAUCAGCUCGUGCUGAUUACGUCCCUGCCCUUUGUACACACCGCCCGUCGCUACUACAGAGUGCCCGUGUCCAAGAAACGGUCGGACCUGUGCGGCCUCUCCGGGCGACCGGAGGGCCGUUACGGGGAAGACCCUUUAUUUGACGCGGGUCGAUGAAGUAAAAGUCGUAACA
RNAcentral lists this ribosomal RNA (329 nucleotides) under uncultured eukaryote. RNAcentral describes it as "partial 18S ribosomal RNA". It matches the Rfam family "Eukaryotic small subunit ribosomal RNA", at positions 1470 to 1796 of the family's 1831-position model. The record is from RNAcentral.